This is a long non-coding RNA of Ficedula albicollis (Collared flycatcher), 1164 nucleotides long. RefSeq lists it as uncharacterized. The record is from RefSeq and is a predicted model, not a curated record. The transcript has 5 exons. NCBI's taxonomy places the organism in Eukaryota, Metazoa, Chordata, Aves, Passeriformes, Muscicapidae.
GACAGGUGUGUACGGGUGAGACAGGUGUACAGGAGUGUACAGGUGUGUACAGGUGUGUCAGGAUGUACUGGCCCUGCGCGGGGGGACAGGUGUGUACGGGUGAGACAGGUGUACAGGAGUGUACAGGUGUGUACAGGUGUGUCAGGAUGUACUGGCCCUGCGCGGGGGGACAGGUGUGUACGGGUGAGACAGGUGUACAGGAGUGUACAGGUGUGUACAGGUGUGUCAGGAUGUACUGGCCCUGCGCGGGGGGACAGGUGUGUACGGGUGAGACAGGUGUACAGGAGUGUACAGGUGUGUACAGGUGUGUCAGGAUGUACUGGCCCUGCGCGGGGGGACAGGUGUGUACGGGUGAGACAGGUGUACAGGAGUGUACAGGUGUGUACAGGUGUGUCAGGAUGUACUGGCCCUGCGCGGGGGGACAGGUGUGUACGGGUGAGACAGGUGUACAGGAGUGUACAGGUGUGUACAGGUGUGUCAGGAUGUACUGGCCCUGCGCGGGGGGACAGGUGUGUACGGGUGAGACAGGUGUACAGGAGUGUACAGGUGUGUACAGGUGUGUCAGGAUGUACUGGCCCUGCGCGGGGGGACAGGUGUGUACGGGUGAGACAGGUGUACAGGAGUGUACAGGUGUGUACAGGUGUGUCAGGAUGUACUGGCCCUGCGCGGGGGGACAGGUGUGUACGGGUGAGACAGGUGUGUACGGGUGAGACAGGUGUACAGGUGUGUCAGGAUGUACUGGCCCUGCGCGGGGGGACAGGUGUGUACGGGUGAGACAGGUGUACAGGUGUGUCAGGAUGUACUGGCCCUGCGCGGGGGGACAGGUGUGUACGGGUGAGACAGGUGUACAGGUGUGUCAGGAUGUACUGGCCCUGCGCGGGGGGACAGGUGUGUACGGGUGAGACAGGUGUACAGGUGUGUCAGGAUGUACUGGCCCUGCGCGGGGGGACAGGUGUGUACGGGUGAGACAGGUGUACAGGUGUGUCAGGAUGUACUGGCCCUGCGCGGGGGGACAGGUGUGUACGGGUGAGACAGGUGUACAGGUGUGUACAGGUGUGUCAGGAUGUACUGGCCCUGCGCGGGGGGACAGGUGUGUACGGGUGAGACAGGUGUACAGGUGUGUACAGGUGAGACAGGUGUACAGGUGUGUACAGGUGUGUCAGG